This 265-nucleotide long non-coding RNA is filed under the name Homo sapiens (human). RNAcentral describes it as "HSALNT0257589". Lineage: Eukaryota; Metazoa; Chordata; Mammalia; Primates; Hominidae. The record is from RNAcentral.
UGCUGGGCCUAGCACUAAGAUGAUGUGAGUCCUCUGCCUGAAUCCUGACUACAGGGAGCAUUGUGACAUAUUUCUUCACCCAUUACAAUCUCUCCUAUAGACCAAGCUCAGGCUCCGCAUAUUUGGGUAUUGUGACAUAUUGCUGAACUCAACACCUAAGGGAUGAGAGUCUCCUACCUGUGCCCUUCCUAUAGGGGACAUUGUGACAUGUCUCUGCAUUCCUCACCUAGGAGAUGUGACUCUCAUCUUCUGCUUGCACCCUGCC